RNAcentral lists this ribosomal RNA (380 nucleotides) under uncultured eukaryote. Its description in RNAcentral is "partial 18S ribosomal RNA". It matches the Rfam family "Eukaryotic small subunit ribosomal RNA", at positions 592 to 976 of the family's 1831-position model. The record is from RNAcentral.
CAAUAGCGUAUAUUAAAGUUGUUGCGGUUAAAAAGCUCGUAGUUGGAUUUCUGCUGAGGACGACCGGUCCGCCCUCUGGGUGAGCAUCUGGUUCGGCCUUGGCAUCUUCUUGGGGAACGUAGCUGCACUUGACUGUGUGGUGCGGUAUCCAGGACUUUUACUUUGAGGAAAUUAGAGUGUUUCAAGCAGGCGCACGCCUUGAAUACAUUAGCAUGGAAUAAUAAGAUAGGACCUCGGUUCUAUUUUGUUGGUUUCUAGAGCUGAGGUAAUGAUUAAUAGGGAUAGUUGGGGGCAUUCGUAUUUAACUGUCAAAGGUGAAAUUCUUGGAUUUGUUAAAGACGGACUACUGCGAAAGCAUUUGCCAAGGAUGUUUUCAUUGA